CCUACGGGAGGCAGCAGUGAGGAAUAUUGGUCAAUGGACGAGAGUCUGAACCAGCCAAGUAGCGUGAAGGAUGACUGCCCUAUGGGUUGUAAACUUCUUUUAUAAAGGAAUAAAACGAGGCACGUGUGCCUUUUUGCAUGUACUUUAUGAAUAAGGAUCGGCUAACUCCGUGCCAGCAGCCGCGGUAAUACGGGGGAUCCGAGCGUUAUACGGAUUUAUUGGGUUUAAAGGGAGCGUAGAUGGGUUGUUAAGUCAGUGGUGAAAGUUUGCGGCUCAACCGUAAAAUUGCAAUUGAUACUGGGAGUCUUGAGUACAGUUGAGGUAGGCGGAAUUCGUGGUGUAGCGGUGAAAUGCUUAGAUAUCACGAAGAACCCCGAUUGCGAAGGCAGCUUACUAAACUGUGACUGACAUUGAUGCUCGAAAGUGUGGGUAUCAAACAGGAUUAGAUACCCCUGAGUC
RNAcentral lists this ribosomal RNA (459 nucleotides) under uncultured bacterium. RNAcentral's name for it is "partial 16S ribosomal RNA". It matches the Rfam family "Bacterial small subunit ribosomal RNA", at positions 338 to 795 of the family's 1533-position model. The record is from RNAcentral.